This is a non-coding RNA of Oryctolagus cuniculus (rabbit), 3604 nucleotides long. Lineage: Eukaryota; Metazoa; Chordata; Mammalia; Lagomorpha; Leporidae. The record is from RefSeq and is a predicted model, not a curated record.
CCUGGCGGGCUGCAAAGGGAAGGCGGCUCCCAGCUGCUCGGCCUGCGCACCACGGCGCUGCUGGCCUCCCCAAGAGUUAAGCCAAGGUGGGCGCGCAGGUGCAGUCUGUGCCCAGGGACGCUGCAGGAGAAGGUGCUAUUUUGAGACUAAGGACCGUGCUGACGGUGCGCGGGGGCGUGGGGACCAGAACCGUGGUCCCACACCGAGGAAGACCCCGACUGCCCUCCAGAGACGCCGGGCAAGGGUGUGAGCGCCACAUGAGGUGGGUUUCAGGACAGACAUGAACCGGCUGGCGGCCAUGCUCCCCAUGGUCCCAGGGGAAGAAGACGUGCCCUGGGCUCUGGCCCAGCUGAUGACAAACCACAGACGUGCAGUGCAGGGUAGGUGGCUGGGUGGCGCCCACGCUGCCCAAGUGACUGCACCUCAUGCCCCACUGGCUCUUCAGUGUCCAAGCAGAUUGCCCUUUGGGAGGCCCUGUAGGAGUCAGGGAUGGCAGAGGACAUCUCUCUGCUGAGUCAGACCCUCUGUCUCCCUGCAGUGCCCUGUGCUUGCCCUCUGUGCCCUGAACCCACAGCCCUUGGGCCGCUUCCUUGUCCAGGUGACUCUUCUGCCUCCCCUCUGUUCACUCUCCCAGCUGGUGAACACAGUGACCUCUCUCUUCCUUCCCAGAGGUUCUGAGUCCCACAGGAGGAAAACAAGAGCAACUGCCCGGCAGGCCCCUGCGCCUGGUUCUUGUGUACCUGGAGGCCCGGCCUCACCAGGUUUGCCUCCCCACACUCCAGAGGUACAAAAGGACCCAGUGGAUUUCCCAGCAGCCCUGGGGGAUAGCACCUCGCCCACAGAUGACUGGAAAUGCAGAAACCACCCCAGGCCUCUCUGUGCUCCCAACCUGCUUCUCCCGACUGGGACAGCUGACGGGCCAGGCGAGCUGUGUCACUGUUGGCUCCUCUGUGCACCCUCGAGUUGACUCUGGAAGCAACAUUACGCUGGCCGCAGAGGGCGAAGUCCAGCAGAGGCUCCAGGGCCCUUCCAAACCUGAAAGACACCAUGUGAACCAAGAGAGAAGCCCGGCUUGUGCCCAUGGAGUCCACUAUUGUUGAGAUACUCUUGGAGGAGCCCUAGACCCCAAACCUCUCUCUCUGGGGGCCUCCGUGCUUCCAGGUCUGGCCUGCCUCCCCCUGACCUAGGACAGCUCAGAGGCUGCGCAACGCCCAUCAGUGUGGGCUUCCUACUAUAACCUUGUGGCACACCUGGAAGCCACAGACUGCUGGUCCCCUGAGGGCAAAAAUGAUCAGGCACUCUUCCAGGUCUGCCCUGGGACUCCUGGGACCAGGCCUCACCCGGGCUGCUGCAGGCCAGUGCUCAGGCUGAGGACAUACCCUUUAGAGGCCCAUGAGCCUCAGGCAACAGUGAACUUCAGGGGCCUGUAGGGGAAGGGAAAAGACUAGGCCCUCUGGCCCAAGUCCCUGCACAUCCUGUUAGCUGCAUUGCCUCCUCUUCCACAGAGCAGCUGGACACGUGCGGGUCAGUGGACUGGACAGUGAACUCACUUUGCUGCCAGCCGAGGGUGGCUAGUGGCCUGCCCAGCCUCUGCAUGGCAGCCCCCACACUGGACAGGGCUCCCUGUUCUUGGUAACUAAUAGCACUACGUCCGAGUAGCCUUGGCUUGUCCUGAGCUUGGACCCAGUCUCAGGCACCCCCCUGGAGCCUGGGCUUGCACUAAAAGACCAGGUUAGUGGCCUGAGGCUCUGAGAGCUUCUAAACGACCAUGGCAUGGGGGCAGCAAGAGUGGGCCUCCAGCAGCCCCUUGCUUGUUAAAGUCUAAUAAAAUGCUGGGUUAAGGACAUUGGGUCUGUUUCCCAAUGCUCCUCCUGUGAGGCCUGAGUCAGAGGCCAGGGUCAUGACCAUCCAAUAAUUCCUGAGAUAGACCUGUGCCCCACAUGGGCCGGAAGGGCCCUGGGAGGGGAGGAAGGGGGCCAUGUUAUUGGGGCAGUUGAGGACAGUCUCUGCAAAGUGUUCAUGGGAGGGUCCUUGGCCGGGCAGCAGUAUCCCUGCCCGCCUCCACCCAGAAGCCAGCACAUCUAUUUCCUGAGCCUGGGUCAGGGCACAGAGCACGCUGCUGACCACAGGCCAGGAGACAGCAGGCCAGGGGAGCCCUGGGCAUGGCAGCAGUGGCUCGUGUGGGAGGGCGCCCGCUGCCCUGGCAGUCAGGGGAGCCCAGGUGAUCCUGUGGUGUUGUAGGGGCUGCUGCUCCUCUCCAUUAUUCUGCCACCAGCAUGUCCCACAAUUACAAGUUCUAUGUAAACAUAUAGUAUGGAUAUGUGUUUAAAAUGUGCAUAAUCAAACCACAUUUGAAAGGGUAUUCAGGGAGCUUCUAGCUUAAAAUGAGGCUUUUUGUGCUUCAAAAUCUUUUCAGGAAGUGAAAAUGAGGAUAAUGGUCCCCAAAUUAGCCCUAGAGUAAGUCUACAUUCUCUUGUAUCGUGUUUGCUUAGGAUGUGGAGCAUAUGUGGAGUCUCCACGCUGACUUGUUCAGCUCAGGGCUCUGCAAGCUCCGGUAGGAAGCAGAGGCCACACUUGGUGGCCCCAGAUGCUCACAUCCCCCACAUAAAUGUUCGAUGAGUGAUUUCAGUGAAUGCCGAAAUCACAAUUUAUUAAUAACCCGCAGUCGAGCAGAGCAGUCAGGUACCCUGUGGGAUCCACCUCAGUCGGCCACGUCUCCCUCGUUUCAUAUUUAGCUACGCCGUCUUUGAAAUGCAGGAUGCGUCCCCAGCUUGGGCAUGCCUCUUCCCACAUCCUGUGCUCUUCCUUCCUAAGAAACACUCCUUAAAUAAUGAAGAAGAUGCUCCUACUGAGCUUUCUCCUCGGGAGCUCUCUGUGGGCGCUUAGAAGAUUGUCUUGCUUACUGAGGGAAGAAAUUAUUUCACAAGGGGAGUCGACAGGAGCCGGUGCCUGUAAGCACGGGGAAGUAGGCAGACCAAUGCUAAUGGCUGGGGGCAGAGCUGCAGUGGGGGGAAAGGGGAGGGAGGUUUACUGAGUGGCUUCUACAAUUGUACUUCAAAAAGUUUGUGGAAUAUUGGAGUUAAAAGAUAAUUUGGGCACAAACAUUUUUGGAAUCCAUGCAUAGUUUUUUCAUAAGAUGUAUUUUCAUGAGUUUUUUUUAAGAUGCCUUACAUGGAUGAGUUUUGAGAUUUUUUCCCCCAACAUUUAUCUUUUAAAUUCCAUAUCCACAAACAGAAGUGCCUGUGUCUGUACCUAGUGCUGGAUCUCAUUUUCAUUUUCAUAACAAUCAGGGAAGAUGGCAUUUAAAAAUCCCACUUCAAAGGCUAUGAAAAGCAGAAUUCAGAGAAGUGAAUUUGCCUAGCAUCACACAGUGAGUGACUGACUAUACCCCAAAUAUAACCAGUUCCAAAGACCCCUCCCCCUUUUCCAUUAUGCUGGGUAGAAGCAUUCCAGUAGAGUUCUUUAAUAGCCAAAUGUGUGUAAGAGCCAAAUGUUCAAGGAGUGUGUACAAAUUGGAAAAUAUUCCGAAACUCUCGAAUAUAUGCAGUGAUCAUUUGAAAAGUGUCCACUCAUGUAGAUGCAGUAAUGAAUAAAAUCUUUACAG